RNAcentral lists this ribosomal RNA (253 nucleotides) under uncultured bacterium. RNAcentral describes it as "partial 16S ribosomal RNA". It matches the Rfam family "Bacterial small subunit ribosomal RNA", at positions 524 to 776 of the family's 1533-position model. The record is from RNAcentral.
UACGUAGGGGGCAAGCGUUGUCCGGAAUCAUUGGGCGUAAAGAGCGUGUAGGCGGUCUGGUCAGUCGGUUGUGAAAGUCAAGGGCUCAACCCUUGAAUGCCGGCCGAUACUGCCGGGCUAGAGUCCGGAAGAGGUGAGUGGAAUUCCUGGUGUAGCGGUGAAAUGCGCAGAUAUCAGGAGGAACACCGAUGGCGAAGGCAGCUCACUGGGACGGUACUGACGCUGAGACGCGAAAGCGUGGGGAGCAAACAGG